AGAGAAUGCAUCAGAUCCCUGCCAUUAAAAAAGGAAUACCAAGGUCAAUUUAGUGAAGAUGUUGAUAGCUAGAAGGUCAUCUAAUUUUACAACCUACAUCCGCGCCCAGUUCCUUGCUGGAAGCAUGCACACAUGGUACGUUUAUUUAUAUAUACAUUAUUAGCUUCUAUAGAGUCUUCAUGUCAUUAUACCAGCAGACUGCAAACAUGCUUACUUGUCAUGGCAUUGAAAGUCCUAGAACAUUUUGGGAUUCUAUUCAUUUCAAGCAUAUCUGCAUAGAGUCAUCUCAUUGCAAGAUGAUUAAAAAAAAAAGGUGCACGGAUAUAGCUUGCUUGGCAUUCCUUCACAAAGUGGGAUAUUGUGGCCUUCAAAAAUCAUUUGAUGCUCAAUGCCAUUAUGAAUUGUAAUAUUCCAAAUUUUUAAAUAAUUAUUUUAUGUGUAAAUUAUGAUAUUUUAAUGUAUUAAACAUUAUGGUAUUUAAUUUGAAUUUCUGUAUUUUCAAAAUUGAGUUUUUAUUUUUCGAAGCAAUUAAUUUUAAUGAUUUUUAAAAAUUAAUUUAAAAACCACGUGGCAAAACUAAAAAUA
Molecule: unclassified non-coding RNA, 585 nt
Filed under: Hevea brasiliensis (rubber tree)
Lineage: Eukaryota; Viridiplantae; Streptophyta; Magnoliopsida; Malpighiales; Euphorbiaceae
Source: RNAcentral